CAUGUUCACAAUUUCUUAUCUAUUGAAUUUAGUCACGGUUUUGAUAAUAAUAUACUUUGCCUUUUAAAUGCUGAACAGUUAACAUAAUUUGUUUGGUGGGAAACGGGGCAGAAAUUAAAUGAUAACUUAAUGACAUGAAAUAAUCAUCUUUGAUAUUACAUGAAAGUAGUCAUCAUACAAACAUAAAAAUAAGGAGAUAUAUGAUUACUAAUGAGACGAUUUUCCACCUAAAAUCAAAUAAAUGGAUGUAAAUAAUUUUAGACAACUGUAUGGUCUUGAACAAUGAGAAAAACCCAUACUGUUUGGUUGGCUAUUAAAGAUCUGACAUGACAAAUAUGAAACAAUUCAAUUGAGAAAACUAACAGCCUAAUUUAAAACAAAACAAAUAUGACGGACAUGAACCAAUGACUAGCAAUGAACUACAGGCUCCUGACUUGGGACAAGCACUUAUUGAAUAAGGUGGGAUUAAAUAUGUUUGUGAAUACUUGUCUCUCCC
This 496-nucleotide long non-coding RNA is filed under the name Mytilus galloprovincialis (Mediterranean mussel). The record is from RNAcentral. Lineage: Eukaryota; Metazoa; Mollusca; Bivalvia; Mytilida; Mytilidae.